Molecule: ribosomal RNA, 696 nt
Filed under: Triticum aestivum (bread wheat)
Lineage: Eukaryota; Viridiplantae; Streptophyta; Magnoliopsida; Poales; Poaceae
Description: partial small subunit ribosomal RNA
Source: RNAcentral
AUGCUCGUCGAGUGCGUGCUGGAGAUUCUCCAGUCGAGUGCGCUCAGCCAAGUUGGCCAGGCGCACCUCCUCCAAGGCCCGGGCCUCGGGGGUUUCUCCAACGAUAGGAGUGUGAAGUGCAUCCAUGUUACGGCGGCGAAGCUCUUCCCUCUGCUGCGAAGAGAGGGGCUUGGGGCGGUACUCCUCAUGGACAUGCGACGGAUCGCCUCUGCCAUCACCACCGUCGUCGCGGGGGAAGCCAGGAGGACUGCGCGGUUCGUUGACCAUCAGGACUUCCGCCGCGGGGUCACUCCUGUCGCACUCGGAUGCGGUCUCAACGGAGCUAGUCGACAGGUCGAACAAGCCGUAGAGAAUUUCGUCGGGCUCGAUUGCCGCGACUUGGGGGUGGCCGACUGGCGAGCCACUGUGUGCCUCACCCACCGCUGGAGCCUCGACCGAUCGGAACGCUUGUGCCGGCGGGCAGCAGGGAGUGAAGACGCCACCGGAGCCGACCGAUACUGGGUCGACGGCUGCCGCAGGAGGACGCCGCGGACGGGGAGCGCCUCGACGUCGAGUGGAGCUUCUUGGAGCCAAGCGGAGUCAUCGGCGACGAACACGAGCGCGCCAAGACGGAUCUCGCGGCCCUCGGCCAAUCCUCCGCCUAAAACCAUGCUGAUGGGGAUCGGAAAAAUUGCAACUUCUCCAACAAGUCGCUAA